This 253-nucleotide ribosomal RNA is filed under the name uncultured bacterium. RNAcentral's name for it is "partial 16S ribosomal RNA". It matches the Rfam family "Bacterial small subunit ribosomal RNA", at positions 524 to 776 of the family's 1533-position model. The record is from RNAcentral.
UACGGAGGGUGCAAGCGUUGUUCGGAAUUAUUGGACGUAAAGCGCUUGUAGGCGGCGCGGUAAGUCUCGUGUGAAAGCUCCAGGCUCAACCUGGAAAGUGCGCGAGAAACUACCGUGCUUGAGUGUCGGAGAGGGUGGCGGAAUUCCCGGUGUAGAGGUGAAAUUCGUAGAUAUCGGGAGGAACACCAGAGGCGAAGGCGGCCACCUGGACGAGCACUGACGCUGAGAAGCGAAAGCGUGGGGAGCAAACAGG